GAUGAACGCUAGCUACAGGCUUAACACAUGCAAGUCGAGGGGAAACGACAUCGAAAGCUUGCUUUUGAUGGGCGUCGACCGGCGCACGGGUGAGUAACGCGUAUCCAACCUGCCCACCACUUGGGGAUAACCUUGCGAAAGUAAGACUAUACCCAAUGAUAUCUCUAGAAGACAUCUGAAAGAGAUUAAAGAUUUAUCGGUGAUGGAUGGGGAUGCGUCUGAUUAGCUUGUUGGCGGGGUAACGGCCCACCAAGGCUACGAUCAGUAGGGGUUCUGGGAGGAAGGUCCCCCACAUUGGAACUGAGACACGGUCCAAACUCCUACGGGAGGCAGCAGUGAGGAAUAUUGGUCAAUGGGCGAGAGCCUGAACCAGCCGAGUAGCGUGCAGGAUGACGGCCCUAUGGGUUGUAAACUGCUUUUAUAAGGGAAUAAAGUGAGCCUCGUGAGGCUUUUUGCAUGUACCUUAUGAAUAAGGACCGGCUAAUUCCGUGCCAGCCGCCGCCGCAG
Molecule: ribosomal RNA, 507 nt
Filed under: uncultured bacterium
Lineage: Bacteria
Description: partial 16S ribosomal RNA
Rfam family: Bacterial small subunit ribosomal RNA
Source: RNAcentral